CCCUUAGAUGUCCUGGGCCGCACGCGCGUUACACUGAUGCAUUCAACGAGCUUAUAACCUUGGCCGAGAGGCCUGGGCAAUCUUGUUAACGUGCAUCGUGAUAGGGAUAGAUUAUUGAAAUUAUUAAUCUUGAACGAGGAAUUCCUAGUAAACGCAGAUCAUCAAUCUGCAUUGAUUACGUCCCUGCCCUUUGUACACACCGCCCGUCGCUGCCCGGAACUGAGCCGUUUCGAGAAAGCCGGGGACUGACGGCUUGUGGGUGCGCAAGCGCUUCUUGCCGAUGGAAACCAGUUUAAUCGGUAUGGCUUGAACCGGGCAAAAGUCGUAACA
This 330-nucleotide ribosomal RNA is filed under the name uncultured eukaryote. RNAcentral describes it as "partial 18S ribosomal RNA". It matches the Rfam family "Eukaryotic small subunit ribosomal RNA", at positions 1470 to 1796 of the family's 1831-position model. The record is from RNAcentral.